This 1452-nucleotide ribosomal RNA is filed under the name Triticum aestivum (bread wheat). RNAcentral's name for it is "partial small subunit ribosomal RNA". The record is from RNAcentral. Lineage: Eukaryota; Viridiplantae; Streptophyta; Magnoliopsida; Poales; Poaceae.
AUGGAGGGAUACUUCCUCGCCUGCUCCUUCCAGCCACCCGUUGUCACUCGUGCCAGCGCCCGCUAGGCCCCCCGGGUUCUCCUCGACAAGAAGGCCUACUUCGCCGUCCGCGAGAACGCCACAACCGUCGAAGCCGUUACCAGCACCGGCAACGCCUUCAAGGUCACCUUCUGCCUGGCCGACCCGCCGGCCAUCUCCCACUUCUGCGUCCACGGCCCCGAGUUCCAGCGCGACGACUUAGCGACUGAGCCCCUGGUCGUCUCCUCGGUCAAGGACUUCGUGCUCCUCUGUUUCAGUUCCCGGAGAAGCGGUCCGGGAUCUCGCCUCCUGGAGUACUUCGUCUACAAGGCCAACCACGGCAAGCCGUCACUCACACUGAUCCCACGUGCUCCUCCGGGCACCACAAACUUGUUCCAUGUGUGCGUCUUGCCAAUCGACGAUGAUGUUGGGGGAUUUGUCCUGGCAGAUCUCUCCAUGACAGUGCCCCCAUCAGACUACGAGCUCCACGUCUUCUCUUUCAGGACAGGCAAGUGGGCCACUACGACGUUGCGGUUGCAAACACAUAGCGCAUAUCCCGGGGUGAGGAAAGAAGACCUGCCGGGCCAUAUUUUUGACAAGGCGGUCGCGCUAGGAGGAGGUGCUGUCGGCUGGAUCGACCUCUGGCUUGGCAUUGUCACCUGCAAUGUCUUUGACAAGAACCCGGCUCUAAGUUUCAUCCCGAUACCCAUGCUUGCAUACUCUAACGAGCAACGGGGCGACCCGAAGCCGGUCCGGGAUGUCGCCUGCUUCAACGGUGUCAUCAAGCUUGUCGAGAUUGACCAUUUCUUCAGGCGGGAGCUCGUCACUAUUAACCACAGCAAGAGGUUCAAGGUGACAAGGGAUCUUGAUAGCGUCGAUAUGAUACACCACUCGGAGAUCCUCCUCUGUGCGCACGAGGACUUCCUCGGUACUUCGACUGACAAAAUCAUUUAUAUUCCUGAUGGCUGGAAGAUCCGGACAUGUUACAUGCAUAUUUUUUCGGACGUCUGGUGCAAGGGACAAGUUGUUCAUGUUGAUGACAUCUUGCUUAAUGACCCGAGGAAUUACAUGAUGUUGCCUCAGUUGUGGGAUGGUAGCGCUAGAAAAUUCACAUCGAGGAUCCUGACAACAGCUUACCCGACCCUCACUAUUCAUGGUGGUGAUGUUAUCUACCUCACGUCUAAGGUGGACUACUUUGAUAAGAAUAGCUUGGUAGUUGGUGUUGACCUUGGAAAGAAGACCGUGGAAAUACUGAAACCAUAUUCCGCGGAGAGAGCGUAUCAUUUCAAACCGGCAUUUUUCCCAUGCGCAUUCUCCGAAUAUCUCAAUACCACUCCAAGGCAAGCCUAUUUAUUACUUCUUUUGCUAAUUUUGAUUUCUUCGAACACGAAUACUCCAUAUUGUCCUCCAGUUACUUUACAUGAUGACAUCUAG